Non-coding RNA from Ictidomys tridecemlineatus (thirteen-lined ground squirrel), 5935 nucleotides. The record is from RefSeq and is a predicted model, not a curated record. Lineage: Eukaryota; Metazoa; Chordata; Mammalia; Rodentia; Sciuridae.
UAGCGGCACCCGAGGCCACGCCCCAAAUCGGAAGUGACGGAGACGAGCUAGCGCGUCGAAGCUACCUCUAUGGUUUUCCUCUCGUUCUCGAGUCGGGAAAUGGCCGCUGUGUAGUUACAACGGAGAUAAAUCCCGGGAACCGUGCUUCAGCGUAUUAGGAGUUUGAAUUUAGAGUUUAAUUUCUCAGAAAACGUCUCUUCAGGAAGAACUUUACAGAAUCUCAAAACUUCUUAUCUUCGUGCAUAAAACCCCAGGUUGUAUAUUUGCUUCUUCCACUUCUAUAAAAACCUCUACUAAACGAUUCAGAACAUAAAAAGCAAAUUAAAAUCAAAGCAAGACAAAAAGACCCUGCUGUUUAACCCAUCUUCCCUAAUGCAAACAAGAGGAGUUCCAUAACUUAACUUUCCCCCCCCUCUACUUUGGUGUUAAGGAGAAAAGAAAUGGGUCGUUCCAAUUCUAGAUCACACUCUUCAAGAUCAAAGUCUAGAUCACAGUCUAGUUCUCGAUCAAGAUCAAGAUCACACUCUAGAAAGAAGAGAUACAGUUCUAGGUCUCGUUCCAGGACAUAUUCAAGAUCUCGUAGUAGAGAUCGUAUUUAUUCUAGAGAUUAUCGUCGAGAUUACAGAAAUAAUAGAGGAAUGAGACGACCUUAUGGGUACAGAGGAAGGGGUAGAGGGUAUUAUCAAGGAGGAGGAGGUAGAUACCAUCGAGGUGGUUAUAGACCUGUCUGGAAUAGAAGGCACUCUAGGAGUCCUAGACGAGGUCGUUCGCGUUCCAGGAGUCCAAAACGAAGAUCCGUUUCUUCUCAGAGGUCCCGGAGCAGAUCUCGCCGGUCAUAUAGAUCCUCUAGGUCUCCAAGAUCAUCAUCAUCUCGUUCUUCAUCCCCAUAUAGCAAAUCUCCUGUCUCUAAAAGACGAGGGUCUCAGGAAAAACAAACCAAAAAAGCUGAAGGGGAACCCCAAGAAGAGAGUCCUUUGAAAAGCAAAUCACAGGAGGAAACGAAAGAUACGUUUGAACAUGAUCCAUCUGAAUCUAUUGAUGAGUUUAAUAAAUCAGCCACAUCUGGUGAUAUUUGGCCUGGCCUUUCAGCUUAUGAUAAUAGUCCCAGAUCACCCCAUAGUCCUUCACCUAUUGCUACACCACCUAGUCAGAGUUCAUCUUGCUCAGAUGCCCCUAUGCUUAGUACAGUUCAUUCUGCAAAAAAUACUCCCUCUCAGCAUUCGCAUUCCAUUCAGCAUAGCCCUGAAAGGUCUGGCUCUGGUUCUGUUGGAAAUGGAUCUAGUAGGUACAGUCCUUCUCAGAACAGUCCGAUUCAUCAUAUCCCUUCACGAAGAAGUCCUGCAAAGACAAUCACACCACAGAAUGCUCCCAGAGAUGAGGCUAGGGGACGUUCCUCAUUUUAUCCUGAUGGAGGAGAUCAGGAAACUGCAAAGACUGGGAAAUUCUUAAAAAGGUUCACAGAUGAAGAGUCUAGAGUAUUCCUGCUUGAUAGGGGUAAUACCAGGGAUAAAGAGGCUCCAAAGGAGAAAGGAUCAGAGAAAGGGAGGGCAGAGGGAGAAUGGGAAGAUCAGGAAGCUCUAGAUUACUUCAGUGAUAAAGAGUCUGGAAAACAAAAGUUUAAUGAUUCAGAAGGGGAUGACACAGAGGAGACAGAGGAUUAUAGACAGUUCAGGAAGUCAGUCCUCGCAGAUCAGGGUAAAAAUUUUGCUACUGCAUCUCACCGGAAUACUGAGGAGGAAGGACCCAAGUACAAGUCCAAAGUUUCACUGAAAGGCAAUAGAGAAAGUGAUGGAUUUAGAGAAGAAAAAAAUUAUAAACUUAAAGAGACUGGAUACGUAGUGGAAAGGCCUAGCACUACAAAAGAUAAGCACAAGGAAGACGACAAAAAUUCUGAAAGAAUAACAGUAAAGAAAGAAACUCAGUCACCUGAGCAGGUAAAAUCUGAAAAGCUCAAAGACCUCUUUGAUUACAGUCCCCCUCUACACAAGAAUCUGGAUGCACGAGAAAAGUCUACCUUCAGAGAGGAGAGCCCACUUAGGAUCAAAAUGAUAGCCAGUGAUUCUCAUCGUCCUGAAGUCAAACUCAAAAUGGCACCUGUUCCUCUUGAUGAUUCUAACAGACCUGCAUCCUUGACUAAAGACAGGCUACUUGCUAGUACACUUGUCCAUUCUGUCAAGAAGGAGCAAGAGUUCCGAUCCAUCUUUGACCACAUUAAGUUGCCUCAGGCCAGCAAAAGCACUUCAGAGUCAUUUAUACAACACAUUGUGUCCUUGGUUCAUCAUGUUAAAGAGCAAUACUUCAAAUCUGCUGCGGUGACCCUAAACGAGCGGUUCACUUCGUAUCAGAAAGCCACUGAAGAACAUAGUACCCGGCAAAAGAGCCCUGAGAUACACAGGAGAAUCGACAUCUCUCCAAGUGCCCUGAGGAAGCAUACCCGUUUAGCAGGGGAAGAGAGAGUUUUUAAAGAAGAAAAUCAGAAGGGAGAUAAAAAAUUAAGGUGUGAUUCUGCUGAUCUUCGGCAUGACAUUGAUCGCCGUAGAAAAGAAAGAAGUAAAGAACGGGGGGAUUCCAAGGGCUCCAGGGAAUCCAGUGGAUCAAGAAAGCAAGAAAAAACUCCCAAAGAUUACAAGGAAUACAAAUCUUACAAAGAUGACAGCAAAAAUGUAUUUGUCUUUUACACGGCUUAUGGUGGAUGAGGACAAAAACUUUGGAAUAGCAAGCUAACACUGAAAAAAAAAAUGACAAAUUAAUGUGUCCUAUUAUCCAGGCUACAUCAGGAGGUUGGACUUCAAUGCAGUGCAUUUCUAGAAACAGUUUGUUAAACAUAAAAGUAGAGAGCAAGAUCAUUCUCGAUCUUCGUCCUCUUCAGCAUCACCUUCUUCUCCCAGUUCUCGAGAAGAAAAGGAGAGUAAGAAGGAAAGAGAAGAAGAAUUUAAAACCCAUCAUGAAAUGAAAGAAUACUCAGGCUUUGCAGGAGUUAGCCGACCACGGGGAACCUUUUUUCGAAUUAGAGGCAGAGGAAGAGCCAGAGGAGUUUUUGCUGGGACAAAUACUGGUCCAAACAACUCAAAUACUACUUUUCAAAAGAGACCGAAGGAAGAGGAAUGGGAUCCAGAAUAUACCCCAAAGAGCAAGAAGUACUUCUUGCAUGAUGACAGAGAUGAUGGUGUGGAUUAUUGGGCCAAAAGAGGAAGAGGUCGUGGUACUUUUCAGCGUGGCAGAGGGCGCUUUAAUUUCAAAAAAUCAGGUAGCAGUCCAAAAUGGACUCAUGAUAAAUACCAAGGGGAUGGAAUUGUUGAAGAUGAAGAAGAGUCCAUGGAAAAUAAUGAAGAAAAGAAGGAGAGACGUAAAGAAGAAAAGGAAUAGUGUAUCUGAAGUAAAUUGGCAACAGAGAGCAGAACUUGCACCCACCAUUUUUUUUUUACCUGAUUUUUGUUUCAGAUAAGAAUGUAAGCAUUUUACUUAAAUUUUACUGUUUGCAAGUAGUCUAUAGAAAUUUUGUUUUAAGUCUUCAAAUAUCUUGAAAAAUAGUAGACUGUAUGUUGAAAAUUGUACUGAAAUAAAGUAGAAAAUUGUUAACGUUCCAUAUUUGUAACUAUCAACUUUUAAAAAAAAAUCUUUUACUGUUUUUGUUACAUGCAUUGUAAUUCUGCUUUGUCUAUAAGAUAUGGUCAAGUACAACUCUGUGAAAGUUCUGAUUCUCUUCCCUCCCUGUUUGUUAAUGUUUUAUUCUGAAGUAAACGUUAGCUCUACAUUACAAAUCCCUGAACAGAAAUUGUUUAUAGUGACCACACUAAUUAUUUUAACUGUAUACAUCUGUUUAACAUCUUCCUUAAUUCGAACACUACAUUGUAGGGUGGCUAAUUUUUGAUGUAUACCAUAAAGUUGUUCUUUUGGUAAACUAUGCUAGUUUCACACUUCAGCAAAUGUUUAAAGAAGGCAGGAAAGGUUUGCCAGUGACUAAAAAGUACAAACUAUUAGAUUGAAAGGUUUGAGAAAAUGUUAUUUUUACUGAAAGCAAGCAGUGGCCUAUAAAAACACAUUUUUACAAGUCUUUCCUAUUUUAGUUUAAAAUUCAUUGUUUUCUUUUUAUUCUUAUUUGAUAGUUUGAGUCAUGGUCUUAGAUACCAGCUAUUUGAGAGAAAACUGAUUUGUAAUAAUAUUGCAAGUAAAACUCCGAGUACCACAGAACAUCUUAGUUUAAGGAAAUCACAAAAACAACAAAACCUGUAAUCCUGGUGUUGGUAUGGAGGAGGAUUCCUGCAGAAUAAAUUUGAUGCGUUAGUAUAUAUUUCACAGCUUACAUAUUUAUUUGUGCUUUUGAACAGCUGAAAAUUAGUUUGUAGUGUGACUAUAAGAAAAUAAGACACACAGCAUAUUGUUUCUUGGUACUUUAAGUAACCUGUUUUUCUAAUGUCACCAAUAAAAGGUUUUGGCAAUGUUGUAGCAUUGAUCUACCUUGGUUUUUAUUUUAUUUUUUCCUCCUUUUCAGUUGCAGUUGGUAAAAUGGCUUUUUCUUUUACUUUCUAUGGGUUCUAUUCUUCAGAUAGAGAUGAUCUUUCAAAUGUAAAUUACUUUCUAUGUUUAUGUUAAUAGCUUUUUUUAAAGGAAUGAAAAUUUGAAAUGGGUACACUUGCCAGUGAUUUUGUUUUUUCAACAUACAUAAAGCUAGCACAUUUCAUUUUAAUUCAGCAUCUGAAUUAGUUGUAUAUGUUUACAUUUGAAGAAGAUAAUGCUUCUGUUAUAAAAUUUUAAAGAUCUUAAGUAUAUGGCUCUUUCAUCCUCAAUUUUGAUGAUUUGCAGUGUGUCUAGCACCUUGAUUACUGCCAGGGACUUUGCUAAGAGCUAUUGGAAACUAAACUAAAACCAAAGUCAGUAUAUAUUUGUGGCCUAAACUCCUUGGUAUUGCAUGAUUUCUCACUUUAAUUUUGUCUUUCUGAAAUUGUCUAGUUAUACAGGAUAUGCCUGCAUAAGUAACUUUGUGUUGCUUUAAUCAGGAUACAAUUAAUAAAUCUCUAUUCAGCUUUAAUGCUUAUUAAAGCAACAUGGAUUUGAUCCUCCAGUAGAGAAUUUUCAUGAUUGUUCUGUUUUGUAUAAGUAUAUAAAACUUUUUAUCUUAACUGUUUGUUAUUUUACUAGACACCAAAUCCCUCUUUAUAAUUGUGCAGUUUUGCUUUUCUGCUUAAGACAGAGAAAAUGGGAUUUGCUGAGAAGUUAUUUAAUAGGGAGAUAAAUUGGAAAUAAAACUGCUUAAGGUCCUAUGGGCAGGUUACAUUCUAAGUGCAAAUGCAUUGCUUUAAUCUUUGGUUACUUUUAUUAACUUAAAAAAACUUUGAAGGAAGAGUAUCCUACCAGAAUAUAUAGUAGGAUAGGGUGAUUCUGAGAACUCUGACAUAGAACACCAUUAUGGAUGUUUAUUUUUUACAGAGCCAAGCAUAUAAAAAGUGGUCUGUUUAUUUUUUUAAACCACAAUUUAACUUUACACUUUAUGACAUGUUAUUAAAGCUGAAUGAUUCCUCUUGGUAAGGAUAUUUGUUUAUGAGUGCCAGGAAAUAACUCUUUGAUACUUGCAUUAACAAACUUCCUUUUGCCUAGAGAAGGGAAAUAAAAACGAACCAAAGGAUAUUUCCAGAAAAAAAUAAGAAAGCUGUUUAAGAAGGCCAUGACUCAGUUCCUAGGUGUGUAUACUUUUCAGCAUCCUAGGAAUUUUAAUAUAAAAAGUAAAAUAUGUUUUUCAAAUUGCAGUCUUCUUGCUGUUGUUCCCCUUUGUCACAGUUAAAAUCAGCGUUGGGAGUUAAAUUAUAAUUUGAGAGAAAAUAUUACCCAAUAAGAAUGAAUGUAGAUGGUUAAACGAUUCUUACUCAGUGUGAUGUAUCAUGAUGCAUCAGGGACCCUUGUAAAUUGUCAUAUGCCAAUAAAAUGUCAUAAGUGGUAA